This 427-nucleotide ribosomal RNA is filed under the name uncultured bacterium. Its description in RNAcentral is "partial 16S ribosomal RNA". It matches the Rfam family "Bacterial small subunit ribosomal RNA", at positions 355 to 774 of the family's 1533-position model. The record is from RNAcentral.
UGGGGAAUAUUGCACAAUGGGCGCAAGCCUGAUGCAGCCAUGCCGCGUGUAUGAAGAAGGCCUUCGGGUUGUAAAGUACUUUCAGCGGGGAGGAAGGUGUUGAGGUUAAUAACCUCAGCAAUUGACGUUACCCGCAGAAGAAGCACCGGCUAACUCCGUGCCAGCAGCCGCGGUAAUACGGAGGGGGCAAGCGUUAAUCGGAAUUACUGGGCGUAAAGUGCACGCAGGCGGUCUGUCAAGUCGGAUGUGAAAUCCCCGGGCUCAACCUGGGAACUGCAUUCGAAACUGGCAGGCUAGAGUCUUGUAGAGGGGGGUAGAAUUCCAGGUGUAGCGGUGAAAUGCGUAGAGAUCUGGAGGAAUACCGGUGGCGAAGGCGGCCCCCUGGACAAAGACUGACGCUCAGGUGCGAAAGCGUGGGGAGCAAACA